RNAcentral lists this ribosomal RNA (494 nucleotides) under uncultured bacterium. RNAcentral's name for it is "partial 16S ribosomal RNA". It matches the Rfam family "Bacterial small subunit ribosomal RNA", at positions 28 to 507 of the family's 1533-position model. The record is from RNAcentral.
GACGAACGCUGGCGGCGCGCUUAACACAUGCAAGUCGAACGGAAAGGCCUGCUUUCCCUUGUGGAUUGCGGGUACUCGAGUGGCGAACGGGUGAGCAACACGUGAGUGAUCUGCCCCCAACUUGGGUAUAAGCCUGGGAAACUGGGUCUAAUUCCCGAUAGGACUGCAGGGUGGUGCCUGUGGUGGAAAACGAUUUUCUAGUGGUUGGGGAUGAGCUCGCGGCCUAUCAGCUUGUUGGUGGGGUAAUGGCCUACCAAGGCGGCGACGGGUAGCCGGCCUGAGAGGGUGGACGGGCACAUUGGGACUGAGAUACGGCCCAGACUCCUACGGGAGGCAGCAGUGGGGAAGAUUGCACGAUGGGCGGAAGCCUGAUGCAGCGACGCCGCGUGGGGGAUGACGGCCUUCGGGUGGUAAACUCCUUUCGACCGCGAGGAAGCCACCUGGUUGGAAGGGUGGUGACGGUAGUGGUAGAAGAAGCACCGGCUAACUACGUG